Suricata suricatta (meerkat) is the source of this 796-nucleotide long non-coding RNA. RefSeq lists it as uncharacterized. The record is from RefSeq and is a predicted model, not a curated record. NCBI's taxonomy places the organism in Eukaryota, Metazoa, Chordata, Mammalia, Carnivora, Herpestidae. The transcript has 2 exons.
CCUGAGCCGAACUCAAGAGUGGAAUGCUCAACUCACUGAGCUACCCAAGACACCCCUCUAUAUUGUUUUAAUCAAUAGGAACACAGGUCCUUCCUUUUUUCCAUGUCUACCAGCUGUGUUUGUGAAUGUUCAAGAGAAGAUAAAGGAUUGAGAGCUGGAAUCAGUCAACUGAAUUGCUUGUCAGGAGAUUCAGAAGGUUUGGAGAAAGGUAAGGCACAACCAAGUAUUUAAAAUAAGAUCUCUAAGCUAAGGGUCCUAUUCAUUUUUCUCUAUAUAGUUAUAUCCAGUUUUCCGAGCACCAUUUGUUAGAGACUAUUCUUCCCUUAUUGGGUAUUCUUGGCUCCCUUGCCAAAUAUUGAUUGACUUCAUAUGCAGAAGUUUUUUUUCUGGACUCUCUAUUAUGUCCCACUGAUCUAUGUGUCUAUUUAUGCCAUGGCGUACUGUUAUAAUUAUUAUAGUUUUGUAAUAUAGGUACACCUUGUUUAUUGUGCUUUGUUUUAUUGCACUUCACAAAUAUUGUGGGUUUUUGUUUUUUAUUUUUACAAAUUGAAACUUUGUGGCAUUCCUACAUUGAGCCUAUCUCUUGGUAUCAUUUUUCCAGUAGCAUUUACUCACUUUGUGUUUCUGUGUCACAUUUUGGCAAUUCUUGCAAUAUUUCUGAAUUUUCAUUAUUAUACUUGUUAUGGUGGUCUAUAAUCUUUGGUGUUACUAUAGUAACUGUUUUGGGGUACCACAAAUCUCACCCAUAUAAGAUGACAAAACUUCAUCAAUAAAUGUUUUGUGUGUUCUGACCGCU